UCCUACGGGAGGCAGCAGUGGGGAAUAUUGCACAAUGGGCGCAAGCCUGAUGCAGCCAUGCCGCGUGUAUGAAGAAGGCCUUCGGGUUGUAAAGUACUUUCAGCGAGGAGGAAGGCGUUAAGGGUAAUAACCCCAGCGAUGACGUACUCGCAGA
Molecule: ribosomal RNA, 154 nt
Filed under: Enterobacter sp. NC351
Lineage: Bacteria; Pseudomonadati; Pseudomonadota; Gammaproteobacteria; Enterobacterales; Enterobacteriaceae
Description: partial 16S ribosomal RNA
Rfam family: Bacterial small subunit ribosomal RNA
Source: RNAcentral